Molecule: ribosomal RNA, 360 nt
Filed under: uncultured bacterium
Lineage: Bacteria
Description: bacterial SSU rRNA
Rfam family: Bacterial small subunit ribosomal RNA
Source: RNAcentral
AACGAACGCUGGCGGCAUGCCUAACACAUGCAAGUCGAACGAGACCUUCGGGUCUAGUGGCGCACGGGUGCGUAACGCGUGGGAACCUGCCUUUAGGUUCGGAAUAACUCAGAGAAAUUUGAGCUAAUACCGGAUAAAUGUCUUCGGACCAAAGAUUUAUCGCCUUUAGAUGGGCCCGCGUUGGAUUAGCUAGUUGGUGGGGUAAAGGCCUACCAAAGGCGACGAUCCAUAGCUGGUCUGAGAGGAUGAUCAGCCACACUGGGACUGAGACACGGCCCAGACUCCUACGGGAGGCAGCAGUGGGGAAUAUUGGACAAUAGGGCGGAAAGCCUGAUCCAGCAAUGCCGCGUGAGUGAUGAA